Molecule: long non-coding RNA, 3007 nt
Organism: Numida meleagris (helmeted guineafowl)
Lineage: Eukaryota; Metazoa; Chordata; Aves; Galliformes; Numididae
Exons: 4
Source: RefSeq, a predicted model, not a curated record
AAAUAAGAAAAAGAACUAAUUACACAACUCCUUUAUUGCUACAGUUGCCACAGUAAAAUGUGGUAAGCUGUAAAACAGGAGGCAUACUCUCUUACGGUUUUUGAGGGAAAAGGUUGAUCAUAAAAAAGGUAUAAAAACUGAAUAGGACUUUACUUAAAAUUGCUGUUCCCAGCCACUGAGAGCCAUUAUUGCAGUAAGAAUAUAAACUGUGAAAACAAAAACUGCUGAGCUCCCUCAUUGGAGAGCGUAGAGAAGGCUAUGGGGGAAGCCUCCAGGCUGAAUGCAGGUGAAGGUGACCUUGGGGAGGAGGUAGCCUGCAACAUGGAGGCUUUGGGCCAGCAGCAGUGACAUAGCAGGGAAGAGACUGGGAUCAGGUAAGAAGGCUGGGUUGGAAGGUGAAGGACAGAGCUGGAUGGCAAAGAAGCCAGGCAGGAGGAAUUUGGCGCAUAUGUACUAAGAGAUACUGAGUGGCUUCCUGGGUUUGUAAAGUGCUUGAGGAAGAGAAGACAAAUAAGCAACAGCCCAAUAAGAUGAUCUAAAAUAUAGAAGGGUGGAGAGGAAGAAGGGGGUUCUUCUCAUUGUAACUGCCUAAGAGCCUGGAGAGCACAGAAUAAAAUCUACUGACAACUUCAAAAGAGAGGCUCUCCUUUGAAAAGGUGGUCUUUCAAACCACAACCACAGAUGGACCUUAUGAGUUCUUCAGUCAUCAUCUGCGACGACGGAUCUUGGUCUGGAGCUGUGAGCUGCUUUUCGUAGCCUCAUGGAGCAGUGCCCAGCAAGCAGCCAUCUCCAUGUGGGCUGCUGCUGCUGCCUGUCAGUUGAUGCCGGGUGCUGAUGGAAGGUGAGAGCUGGAAUGCUCGGAUGGAGGCUGCUGCAGGGUAGUCACCAGGUUUGGCUCCUUGUUUGUGCUAUUCUGUUGCCGCACAGAGAAAUGCUUCUGUCACUGCCACCAUGAGGGUUCCCUUCUCCAGUGCCGUCUGUCAACGCUGACAAUAUUUACUUGACCUCAGGUGCAGACGGUGGCCCAUUCCAUGUCUGAGUUACCUGUCCUGCCACCAGCACGUGUCUCGCUCUCUUCCAUGCCUGCAUUUGUGUCCUGUCUUCAACCCUGACACUAAAAGGCUCUCCGUGCAGCACUUGUGGGAGCUGUACUACCCAGAUGAUCCCUAAGAUCCAUUCCAACCCAAGCCAUCCCAUACAUCUCACAGCCACUGCAGGCAUCACCCCUUGCUGCUCUCUUGUCCUCUCUUGGUCUUCCUUUCAUUACUGCUGAGCGCAGUGCAAGGAGCUGGCAGCACCAUGCUAAGAUGCUAUGGUUACUUCUUGUGGAAUAGUUCUUUAAAUUGACAGGAAAAUUUGUUUUCCUUUGAGUUUUUUUUUUUUCCUCCAGUGACUUAAAAAUGCCAAUUUUAUCCACGGAUCCAUCGUUCUCAUUUGAUCAACUGUGGCAGCAGGAUGGAGGAAUUUGAUUAAAUUCCCAGACAUGGAGCAUAAACUUCCUACAAGUAGAUAUGUCACUGGUAGUGAGAGAACAGUUAUGACCUGUACAAAACGUGCUGGGGAUGCUUCUUAUUUUGUGGAGACAGGCUUUGUCCCAGGUAGCCCCAAUGUGUUCCCAAGGUGCUGCCUCUAUACUUGAUAUCACCUGAAAUGCUUACGCUAUCUUCACUGCUCAGGAUUGCAGAGAUGAGCGAAGGCUUCUCCCCAGUAAUCUGGUUUGAAGAAAGAUGGACACAGUUGUGAAUCUUUCUUUACUUUUGUUUGGGCAUUUUUUCUCUUUAAUAUUCUACUUGAAACUGGCCUUAUUAACACCCUUAAUAUCACAACAGGUUGAUCACCUCUGCUUUUUAUCCAGUUAGAACAUUUCUGGAUUCCAGACCUCUCUGGAUUAGAAGCCAGUUUAGUUAGCACAUCUCUUCUAGCUUUUCUAUUUCAGUGACAUUCACUGAACACUUUUUUUUUUAAUUUCAAAGAUUAAUUUCCCAUUCCUAUCCUGACACCCUCUGUAUAGAAGUGCUAUAUGGAGUGGCAUAUUCUACAUGGUUCUCUGUUGAUUACAUUGUAUGAGGCAGACUAUCCUGGCCUUCGUGUAACAGCUCAAACACUACUGGAUGUUUUGGACUAGUUUCUGAUAGACUACAGACACAUACAUCAGCUUUGCCUACAUGGGCUUCUGUCACUGCUUGUACUGCACAGAAUAGACAUGCACAUAUAGAGCAAAUAGGCUGACGGGAUAUUAAAAUACUCCUGAUUGAAUGGUAAUUUCUAGACCUCCUCUAACUCAAUAGCUUGCAGCAAUCUCAGUUUUUCCUUCGUGUCAAGAGAAUGAUGCUUCCACCUGUUGCGGUAUUCUCUUUUUUCAUUUUCCAUAUCCCUGGGUCUUUCCAGCAGAUGGGUGCUGUUGUGGGCAUGAUCUGCCAGAGGUCCUGCCAUGUGAGCUUCAUGUCCACACAUUCGUGUCACACAGAGUAAAUAUCUCUGCCAGGCAUCUUGGUUUGUCCUCUUGAGGAAAUCAGUAUUAAUCCACUUGUGGGAUAGCUCCCAAAUGACAUUCUCAGCUGUCAACCUGGGAUGGGUAUGAAUUACUACUUAAAGAAUAGUAUGAAUAAUGUAAGAAGAAUAUUUGGAGACUGAGCUCUUUAUAGUGAUCUCUUUGGAGUGCUUGAGUCUAGAGACUUCACUUUAUUUCUUGGUAAUUCUUCAUUAAAACUUCAAGCUCUAAUGCUUUGACAGCAAAGUCUAGCUUUAUUAUUAGCUCUAUUGAUCAUUUUAAUGGACGUCUGAUCUACUUCACGAGGUGGCAGCUAUUUCAUAGAUGCACAAACACCAUGAUAAUAUAACUGCAUUAAUAUUGGGAUACUUUGGUGGAGUCAGCUCUGAAUCUUCUUUUUACUUGUUUUGCUUGUGCGUCUUGAUAGCUCUAUAAACCAAUUUUUCUAUUUUCCCCUUACGAUCACCAGUUCCCUACUUUUGUUGAAAUAAGUGGUUUCUGCAGACUACCCAAAAU